This 253-nucleotide ribosomal RNA is filed under the name uncultured bacterium. RNAcentral describes it as "partial 16S ribosomal RNA". It matches the Rfam family "Bacterial small subunit ribosomal RNA", at positions 524 to 776 of the family's 1533-position model. The record is from RNAcentral.
UACGGAGGGAGCUAGCGUUGUUCGGAAUUACUGGGCGUAAAGCGCGCGUAGGCGGCUUUGUGAGUUAGAGGUGAAAGCCCGGAGCUCAACUCCGGAACUGCCUUUAAGACUGCAUCGCUUGAAUCCAGGAGAGGUGAGUGGAAUUCCGAGUGUAGAGGUGAAAUUCGUAGAUAUUCGGAAGAACACCAGUGGCGAAGGCGGCUCACUGGACUGGUAUUGACGCUGAGGUGCGAAAGCGUGGGGAGCAAACAGG